This 4100-nucleotide small RNA is filed under the name Pongo abelii (Sumatran orangutan). Its description in RNAcentral is "processed transcript". The record is from RNAcentral. Lineage: Eukaryota; Metazoa; Chordata; Mammalia; Primates; Hominidae.
GGUACCUCUGUUUGGUAUCACAUCCAUCAAGGGGGAAAGGUCUUCUGGCUCAUCCCCCCUACAGCCCACAACCUGGAGCUGUACGAGAAUUGGCUGCUGUCAGGGAAACAGGGAGACAUCUUUCUGGGUGACCGGGUGUCAGAUUGUCAGCGCAUUGAGCUCAAGCAGGGCUAUACCUUCGUCAUUCCCUCAGGCUGGAUUCAUGCUGUGUAUACUCCUACAGACACAUUAGUGUUUGGGGGCAAUUUUUUGCAUAGCUUCAACAUCCCUAUGCAGUUAAAAAUAUACAACAUUGAAGAUCGGACACGGGUUCCAAAUAAGUUUCGCUAUCCAUUCUACUAUGAGAUGUGUUGGUAUGUGUUGGAGCGCUAUGUGUACUGCAUAACCAACCGUUCCCACCUAACCAAGGAAUUUCAGAAAGAGUCCCUCAGCAUGGAUUUGGAGUUAAAUGGGUUGGAGUCUGGGAAUGGGGACGAGGAAGCAGUGGAUCGAGAACCCCGACGCUUGAGCAGCAGGCGUUCUGUCCUCACUAGCCCUGUAGCGAAUGGAGUCAACCUGGAUUAUGAUGGACUGGGCAAAACCUGCCGAAGUCUUCCAAGUCUGAAGAAAACUUUGUCUGGGGACUCAUCUUCUGACUCUAGCCGGGGCUCCCACAAUGGACAAGUGUGGGAUCCCCAGUGUGCUCCCCGAAAGGACAGGCAAGUGCAUCUGACCCAUUUUGAGCUUGAAGGCCUUCGCUGCCUUGUAGAUAAGUUGGAGUCUCUGCCACUGCACAAGAAAUGUGUCCCCACAGGGAUAGAAGAUGAAGAUGCUCUCAUUGCUGAUGUAAAGAUUUUGCUGGAGGAGCUUGCCAACAGUGAUCCCAAGUUAGCCCUCACUGGAGUUCCUAUAGUACAGUGGCCAAAAAGGGAUAAGCUUAAAUUCCCCACUCGGCCAAAGGUGCGGGUUCCUACCAUCCCCAUUACGAAGCCUCACACUAUGAAACCAGCUCCACGGUUAACACCUGUGAGGCCAGCUGCUGCCUCCCCGAUUGUGUCAGGAGCCAGACGGAGACGAGUGCGAUGUCGAAAAUGCAAAGCCUGUGUGCAAGGAGAGUGUGGUGUUUGCCACUACUGCAGAGACAUGAAGAAGUUUGGGGGGCCUGGACGCAUGAAGCAGUCCUGUGUCCUCCGACAGUGCUUGGCACCCAGACUGCCUCAUUCAGUCACAUGUUCCCUCUGUGGAGAGGUGGAUCAGAAUGAAGAGACACAAGACUUUGAGAAGAAACUCAUGGAAUGCUGUAUCUGCAAUGAGAUUGUUCAUCCUGGCUGCCUCCAGAUGGAUGGAGAGGGGUUGCUUAAUGAAGAAUUGCCAAAUUGCUGGGAAUGUCCAAAGUGCUACCAGGAGGACAGCUCGGAGAAAGCCCAGAAGCGGAAAAUGGAAGAGAGUGACGAAGAAGCUGUGCAAGCCAAAGUCCUGCGGCCCCUGCGGAGCUGCGAUGAGCCUCUCACGCCCCCGCCUCAUUCACCCACUUCCAUGCUGCAGCUCAUCCAUGACCCGGUUUCCCCCCGGGGUAUGGUGACUCGGUCAUCCCCUGGGGCUGGCCCCAGCGACCACCACAGUGCCAGCCGCGAUGAGCGCUUCAAACGGCGGCAGUUGCUGCGGCUGCAGGCCACAGAGCGCACCAUGGUACGGGAAAAGGAGAACAAUCCCAGCGGCAAAAAGGAGCUGUCUGAAGUUGAGAAAGCCAAGAUCCGGGGAUCGUACCUCACUGUCACGCUACAGAGGCCCACCAAAGAGCUCCACGGGACAUCCAUUGUGCCCAAGCUGCAGGCCAUCACGGCCUCCUCUGCCAACCUUCGCCAUUCCCCCCGUGUGCUAGUGCAGCACUGCCCAGCCCGAACCCCCCAGCGUGGGGAUGAGGAGGGGCUGGGGGGAGAGGAGGAGGAAGAGGAGGAGGAGGAGGAGGAAGAUGACAGUGCAGAGGAGGGGGGUGCAGCCAGGCUGAAUGGCCGGGGCAGUUGGGCUCAGGAUGGAGACGAAAGCUGGAUGCAGCGGGAGGUCUGGAUGUCUGUCUUCCGCUACCUCAGCCGCAGAGAACUUUGUGAAUGUAUGCGAGUGUGCAAGACGUGGUAUAAAUGGUGCUGCGACAAGAGACUUUGGACAAAAAUUGACUUGAGUAGGUGUAAGGCCAUUGUGCCCCAGGCCCUCAGUGGCAUCAUCAAGAGGCAGCCAGUCAGCCUUGACCUCAGUUGGACCAACAUCUCUAAAAAGCAACUGACAUGGCUUGUCAAUAGGCUGCCAGGACUGAAAGACCUCCUCCUAGCAGGCUGCUCCUGGUCUGCAGUCUCUGCCCUCAGCACCUCCAGCUGCCCCCUUCUCAGGACCCUUGAUCUUCGGUGGGCAGUAGGAAUCAAGGACCCUCAAAUUCGGGACUUGCUUACUCCACCGGCUGAUAAACCAGGUCAGGACAAUCGCAGCAAGCUCCGGAACAUGACCGACUUCCGGCUGGCAGGCCUUGACAUCACAGAUGCCACGCUUCGCCUCAUCAUUCGCCACAUGCCCCUCCUGUCUCGACUCGACCUCAGUCACUGCAGCCACCUUACAGAUCAGUCCUCCAAUCUACUCACUGCUGUCGGGUCUUCCACUCGCUACUCUCUCACAGAGCUCAAUAUGGCAGGUUGCAAUAAAUUGACAGACCAGACCCUGAUCUACCUACGGCGCAUUGCCAACGUCACCUUGAUCGACCUUCGAGGAUGCAAGCAGAUCACUCGAAAAGCCUGCGAGCACUUCAUCUCAGACUUGUCCAUCAACAGCCUCUACUGCCUGUCUGACGAGAAGCUGAUACAGAAGAUCAGCUAAGACACACCCAGCCCAGACUCAACAGGAAACCGAUCUUCCCCUGACUCCCCACCGAGGAGAGCCUCUCCUCGACCCUGCACGGGCUCUGAGGCCAGCGUCACACUCCCUCUCUGCUCUCCUGUCCCUUGAGCUCUUCCUCUACAGGUGGGGCAGAGAGGGUGGUGGACACCAGGCUUACCUGCCUGCUCCUCUCCCUCCUAAGGAAAAGGGAGUAGCAGAUUGAUCUGAGGGGAAAGCACAGGCUGUGCUGUCAAGGCGCCUGCUCGCUUACUCGCCUGCCAGGAGGCCGGGCUCUCAGUUUGGGGUGUUUGUGCAACCUUCAUCUGCACUGGGCCCUGUGCCCCUCCUCCCCAUCCAUGGUCCCCAGCAGUGCCUGGUUCUGAGCAAACUCCCAGGGAAGAAAACGGCCCUGUCUCCAUGGCCAGGUUCUUGUGGUGUCUAGUGCGCGUCUCUCCUCCAUCACACUCUCCCGGCUUGCGCAGGAGGGGCCGGCAGCCCCAGGAGUCCCAGACCCGUGCCGAUCACACUGGUGCUGUUGAGAUGUCCCAAACCUCACGUCCUUAACUGUGCUCUCCCUCCUUUCCUCUCCCUUGAGCUUGGUUCUGCCCAGCACUCGUGCUCGUUCAUAUAAUUAGGUUUCCCACCCCAGCCUACCCGACUUACUUGCUAGUCUCUAUGAGGUCCUUAUUGCACUUAUUGGGGUUGAAGCUCUUCAGAGGAGCUGGAACUGUCUACCCCAGGGACACACCCAUUUCGUUGCUACCCAAGUGGAUUCUGAGACAGGCACCAUCUCCUUGUUCCCCCCUCUCUCUUUUGCCUCCCACUGACUGCCCUUUUCCAUGUGUCUUCAUUCUGCCUGAAGAAGGCUUUCCCAGGAUGCACGUCCUCAGAGGGAGCAGCCUAUCUCCCCCAAGCUGGAGGCGGCAGAGGACUGGGCCAAGCCCCAACCUGCCUGUGUCUAGCCCCAGUGGCUCACUGACCUUUCAGGACAGUCAGGGGGUCCUGCUUAGAAGCCAGUCACCUGCCCUCUGCCUGCAGCCAUGGAAGGGGGUGUGCAUGUGCCUCUGUGUGUGUGGCUGAGUGUAUUCCGCGCGUGUGUGUGGAGGGAGGGAGCGAGGGGAGCAUGGUGUCUCCCGCUCCACCGCCCUUUGUCGAGCCCCAUCAGCUGCCCCCUUUUACUUUGCAUUGAACGGCCUGUCCAAAGAUCCUCUCUCUAGGGCAGCAGAGAGCUUUUUGCACUUUAAAAAAAAAGAAAGAAA